Molecule: ribosomal RNA, 233 nt
Filed under: uncultured bacterium
Lineage: Bacteria
Description: partial 16S ribosomal RNA
Rfam family: Bacterial small subunit ribosomal RNA
Source: RNAcentral
GAUCCUGGCUCAGGAUAAACGCUGGCGGUGUACAUAAGACAUGCAAGUCGAACGGGAGAAGACUGGAAGAUUUAUCUACUAGCUCGGACACCGUGGCGGACGGGUGAGUAACACGUAAGCAACCUACCUAUAAGAGGGGAAUAACAGUGAGAAAUUACUGAUAAUACCGCAUAAGCUGGAGGUAUCGCAUGAUACAUUCAGAAAAGAUUUAUCGCUUAUAGAUGGGCUUGCGU